GUUCGCUGGCUUGAGUCUAGUAUUUGUUCUCAGGAAAUCUUCAAUAUCAACCUGUAGUCACUUUUAAUUCUGCUUGCCUGUACCCUUUUCAAAUGAAUUGAUAUUUUCCGAAAUAUUACUGAAAAUAUGAAUUGAACGUAUAAGACGAAGAGAAACAAGUAUGGCAACAACGAUUACGACAAGCUUUCAAUUGUUUCAAGGCUAUGAAAAAUGUGAACAUAUUCAAAGAAAUUAAAAAAAAAAAAAAAAAAAAAAAAACCA
Molecule: long non-coding RNA, 261 nt
Filed under: Mytilus galloprovincialis (Mediterranean mussel)
Lineage: Eukaryota; Metazoa; Mollusca; Bivalvia; Mytilida; Mytilidae
Source: RNAcentral